This is a long non-coding RNA of Manis pentadactyla (Chinese pangolin), 1270 nucleotides long. RefSeq lists it as uncharacterized. The record is from RefSeq and is a predicted model, not a curated record. The transcript is spliced from 3 exons. NCBI's taxonomy places the organism in Eukaryota, Metazoa, Chordata, Mammalia, Pholidota, Manidae.
GACACAGGCUGUGUAAAGUGAAGGUUUCUAAUUCAGAAAGCCCUUCCCGACCUGUUCUUGGAAGCAGCCGAGCUUGCAGAAGAAGACAAGUGGCGGUGCAGUCUAGCAGCUGGACGCUGGAGGGUGGGCGCUCGGGGCUUUGUUCAGUCACGGUUCUGGAGGGCGGUUUGCUCUGUCAGGCCUGUCCUGGGGUUUGUCACACCAAAGGUCACAGGUGCAUGACAGUCAGUCUGGAGCCCGGCGCCCUUGUACAGCGGAAACAGGAGAGGGAGAGAGGGUGCUCGUUUCCCAUGGGUCCAUACAUGCAUCCAUCUAUUCAUCCAGACGGUCAGUCAGUCUGUCCACCACUCAUCUGGCCAUUCAUUCAAGAAACAAUCACUGACCGCCGGCCGUGGGCUGGGUCCCCGCUGGGGGCUGGGGCAGAGAAAUGAGAGAGUCCUCCCUGUCACAGAGACUCUCGGGCUGGGGAGAGACCACCGCCGUGGGCGAGAGAAGUCUUGGGCCUGGGGGCUCAGAGGAGGGCCCAGGCCAGUAGGUGGGCUCCCCGCGGGGUCAAGUCCCUGGGGCCCAGAGCAAGUGGUCAGCAGCCUUUGUGGAAUGAGUUUCCACCAGGAAGCCCACAUCCUGCAGGCACCCAGCCCUGCCCCUGGCUCCCCACUGCCAGGCCCCAGCCUGCACUCCUGUCCCUCCCCAGGGCGGCCCCUGCUGGCCUUAGCAGGGGGAGGCCUCUCCUGGCCCUCUCCCUGGUCACCCGCGUCCCUGAGCAUGCGCUUCGCCCUCUGGCCUGCAGGGGUCAGCAAGCUUCCGGGCCUACUGUGUUUAUUAGCACAGCUGGUGCUCUGAUCCGUGGCCGCUCACUGGCAGGGACCCGAGUGGUCCUCUGUUUUCCUGGUAACAGCCCUGGCCAUGCUGCGGUGAAGGCGUGACGGGCCCCCUCUGGGGAGCAGCUCCCUAGGGAGGCUCAACCUACUUGCAGAAAGUCCAGUCGCUUGCAUUAGGAAGAACUCAGCUCUGUUCGUUUCAUAAGGCUGAUCUCACAUCUAUUUAAAGCUCUUCCUUCCUUCCCUCCCCAGCAGACAUUACCGGCCUGGGAGAGCUGGGUGACCUCCGGAGAGUGUGUGCCUGCAUCUGUCCCUCCCAGCCUGUUUGUUGUGGUAAAAACCACACGUCAUGAGCUCUGCCCUCAACCCGUCGUCGCGUACAGACUUGCUGACUGUGAGCCCGUGUCAGGCAGCAGAGCCCAUGGCACUGUCUGUUCUGAGGAACUGAA